RNAcentral lists this transfer RNA (68 nucleotides) under Marmota monax (woodchuck). RNAcentral's name for it is "tRNA.Ala". Lineage: Eukaryota; Metazoa; Chordata; Mammalia; Rodentia; Sciuridae. The record is from RNAcentral.
GGGUUGUGGCUUAGUGGUAGAAUGCUCGUCUAGCACGUGCGAGGCCCUGGGUUCGAUCCUCAGCCCCA